AACGCAUUGGAUCCAGGUCUUUAUUUUAAACUGAUAAUGAUGGAACAAUGAUCAAGGCUUUUUUCAGGCCUUUACAAAAGUGGUUUGUUUCAUUUUUAUUAUACGCCCGUCUAUGACGGGACGUAUUAUGGUAUACCCCGCGUCCGUCUGUCCGUCCGUCCGUCUGUCCGUCCGUAUGUCUGUUAAUGUCGUACGCUACGUCAAAUAUCCUUUGACAGAUUUUCUUCAAAUUUUAACACAAUCUUAAUAUUGAUAAACCCUGAUCCCCUUUCGUUUUUGACGGAAUUCUGAAUUGUCGUUCCAGAGUUAUGGGACUUUGUUCGUCAAAAUUUCGUGAUUUCAUUGAAUGUCCUACUGUAGCUAUAUAAAAAUGUUAAAGUUGUUAUAACUUUGGUAUGCUUGGACCUAGAGUCUUGAAACUUGACAUGAAGGUUGGCCAGAACUAGUAAGUAACCACUGGACAUUUCAAGGUCAUUCAUUUGAAGGUCAAGGUCACUGUGACCUUGAAUGUAAAAAUGUUAAAGUUCUUAUUUCAUGUUAUAACUUUGGUAUGCUUGUACCUAGAGUCUUCAAACUUGAAAUAAAGAUUGGCCAGUACUAGAAGAUGACCACUGGUCAUUUCAAUGUCAUUCAUUUGAAGGUCAAGGUCACUGUGACCUUAAAUGUUAAAAUGUUAAAAUUGUUAUAACUUUGGUAUGCUUGGACAUAGAGUCUUCAAACUUGACAUGAAGGUUUGCAAGCACACUUAGAUGACCACUGGUCAUUUCAAGGUCAUUCAUUCUAAGGUCAAGGUCACACAAGGUCACUGUGACCUUAAAUGUUAAAAUGUUAAAAUUGUUAUAACUUUGGUAUGCUUGGACAUAGAGUCUUCAAACUUGACAUGAAGGUUUGCAAGCACACUUAGAUGACCACUGGUCAUUUCAAGGUCAUUCAUUCUAAGGUCAAGGUCACUGUGACCUUAAAUGUUAUUGUUGUUCAUGUAUCCUACCGUAGCUCAAAUAUCCCCCGAUGGAUUUUUUAUACGCCCGUCUAUGACGGGACGUAUUAUGGUAUACCCCGCGUCCGUCUGUCCGUCCGUCCGUCCGUCCGUCCGUCCGUCCGUCUGUUAAUGUCGUACGCUACGUCAAAUAUCCUUUGACAGAUUUUCUUCAAAUUUUAACACAAUCUUAAUAUUGAUAAACCCUGAUCCCCUUUCGUUUUUGACGGAAUUCUGAAUUGUCGUUCCAGAGUUAUGGGACUUUGUUCGUCAAAAUUUCGUGAUUUCAUUGAAUGUCCUACUGUAGCUCAAAUAUCCUUCGAUGGAUUUUUUUCAAAUUUCAACACAAUCUUAAUAUUGAUAAACCCUGAUCCCCUUUCGUUUUUGACGGAAUUCUGAAUUGUCGUUCCAGAGUUAUGGGACUUUGUUCGUCAAAAUUUCGUGAUUUCCAUGCUCAUGUACUUAUAAAAUAAACCAUGUAUUCAAAUACAAAUAAACUGAAGUAAAAAAAUGA
Long non-coding RNA from Dreissena polymorpha, 1490 nucleotides. RefSeq lists it as uncharacterized. Lineage: Eukaryota; Metazoa; Mollusca; Bivalvia; Myida; Dreissenidae. The transcript is spliced from 2 exons. The record is from RefSeq and is a predicted model, not a curated record.